UACUCCUACGGGAGGCAGCAGUGGGGAAUUUUGGACAAUGGGCGCAAGCCUGAUCCAGCAAUGCCGCGUGAGUGAAGAAGGCCUUCGGGUUGUAAAGCUCUUUCAGUUGAGAAGAAAAGAUUGUAACUAAUAAUGCAAUCCAUGACGUAUCGACAGAGAGACA
RNAcentral lists this ribosomal RNA (163 nucleotides) under uncultured Nitrosomonas sp. RNAcentral's name for it is "partial 16S ribosomal RNA". It matches the Rfam family "Bacterial small subunit ribosomal RNA", at positions 334 to 492 of the family's 1533-position model. The record is from RNAcentral. Lineage: Bacteria; Pseudomonadati; Pseudomonadota; Betaproteobacteria; Nitrosomonadales; Nitrosomonadaceae.